UAAGAAAAGAGAUGGUCCAGGUGUGGUGUGGACAGCUGACAGGUGAGGAAGGGAUAGUCCAGGUGUGGUGUGGACAGUUGACAGGUGAGGAAGGGAUGGUCCAGGUGUGGUGUGGACAGCUGACAGACAGAUGAGGAUGGGAUGGUUCAGGUGUGGUGUGGACAGCUGACAGACAGGUGAGGAAGGGAUGGUCCAGGUGUGGUGUGGACAGCUGACAGGUGAGGAAGGGAUGGUCUAGGUGUGGUGUGGACAGUUGACAGACAGGUGAGGAAGGGAUGGUCUAGGUGUGGUGUGGACAGUUGACAGACAGGUGAGGAUGGGAUGGUCCAGGUGUGGUGUGGAUAGCUGACAGACAGGUGAGGAAGGGAUGGUCCAGGUGUGGUAUGGACAGCUGACAGACAGGUGAGGAUGGGAUGGUUCAGGUGUGGUGUGGACAGUUGACAGACAGGUGAGGAAGGGAUGGUCCAGGUGUGGUGUGGACAGUUGACAGCCAUGGGUCAGGAUGAGAGAUAGUACAUUUGUAUGUGUGUCCUUGUGUAAAUAGAUUUUAUAUCCUUGUACUAAAUAUAUCUUCAUGCUGAAGUAAAUCCCAGAUCAAGGAUUGAG
This is a long non-coding RNA of Apodemus sylvaticus (European woodmouse), 606 nucleotides long. RefSeq lists it as uncharacterized. The record is from RefSeq and is a predicted model, not a curated record. Lineage: Eukaryota; Metazoa; Chordata; Mammalia; Rodentia; Muridae. The transcript is spliced from 3 exons.